AGAGUUUGAUCCUGGCUCAGGAUGAACGCUAGCUACAGGCUUAACACAUGCAAGUCGAGGGGAAACGACAUCGAAAGCUUGCUUUUGAUGGGCGUCGACCGGCGCACGGGUGAGUAACGCGUAUCCAACCUGCCCACCACUUGGGGAUAACCUUGCGAAAGUAAGACUAAUACCCAAUGACGUCUCUAGAAGACAUCUGAAAAGAGAUUUAAAGAUUUAUCGGUGAUGGAUGGGGAUGCGUCUGAUUAGCUUGGUUGGCGGGGUAACGGCCCACCAAGGCGACGAUCGAGUAGGGGUUCUGAGAGGAACGGUCCCCACAUUGGAACUGAGACACGGUCCAAACUCCGUACGGGAGGCA
This 358-nucleotide ribosomal RNA is filed under the name uncultured bacterium. RNAcentral describes it as "bacterial SSU rRNA". It matches the Rfam family "Bacterial small subunit ribosomal RNA", at positions 8 to 350 of the family's 1533-position model. The record is from RNAcentral.